GACGAACGCUGGCGGCGUGCCUAAUACAUGCAAGUCGAACGAGAGCGACCGGUGCUUGCACUGGUCAAUCUAGUGGCGAACGGGUGUGUAACACGUGGGUAACCUGCCCAUCAGAGGGGGAUAACAUCCGGAAACGGAUGCUAAAACCGCAUAGGUCUUCGAGCCGCAUGGCUUGAAGAGGAAAAGAGGCGCAAGCUUCUGCUGAUGGAUGGACCCGCGGUGCAUUAGCUAGUUGGUGAGGUAACGGCUCACCAAGGCGGUGAUGCAUAGCCGACCUGAGAGGGUGAUCGGCCACAUUGGGACUGAGACACGGCCCAAACUCCUACGGGAGGCAGCAGUAGGGAAUCUUCCGCAAUGGACGCAAGUCUGACGGAGCAACGCCGCGUGAGUGAAGAAGGUUUUCGGAUCGUAAAACUCUGUUGUUAGAGAAGAACAAGUGCUAGAGUAACUGUUAGCGCCUUGACGGUAGCUAAGCAGAAAGCCACGGCUAACUACGUG
RNAcentral lists this ribosomal RNA (498 nucleotides) under uncultured bacterium. RNAcentral's name for it is "partial 16S ribosomal RNA". It matches the Rfam family "Bacterial small subunit ribosomal RNA", at positions 28 to 507 of the family's 1533-position model. The record is from RNAcentral.